UCAUAUAAAGAAUACAAUUCAGAACAGCCAAAUGGAAGAGAAGCAUAGCGCAAGAUAUAGAAGAAGGGGUGGAGAACUUCCAUGUCCUCUCUAGAAGACACCACCCAAUCCACACCUCAAGGUAUUCGCAAACGUGAAAAAUCUCCUUUAGCAGUCUUUACGGAGGUCUGUUAUGUAGAUACAACAAACAAGAAAAAUCUGAGAAACUGUCACAGCCAAGAUGAAAUAAGGACACAUGAUGACUAAAUGUAUGUGGUAUUCUGGAUGGAAUUCUAGGACAGAGAAGGACAUUAGAUCACGCAUUCUUUCCUAGGAAAAGAACAGAGCUCUUCUGCAUGUCACCAGACCCUGUUGCACCACUCCUGGGCGCCAAGGAACCAGACAGACCCUUUUGCACAACGCCCCUAGGCACCUAGGGAACCAGACCCCCCUUGUACAACCUCCAAGGACCGAGAUGAAAUCUGUAGCUGGCAUCUGUAGUGUGCACCGAGAAAUGUUACAGACUACUGCACUCCCUUAACUGAUUAACUGACCCAAAUCCCUUUAAAAAAUCUCUAGGCUGGGCAGAAACCUCAGAGUCUGCCUUCUCUCCAGGUGGCCAGCCUCCUGAAUAAAGCUCACAU
Molecule: long non-coding RNA, 623 nt
Organism: Zalophus californianus (California sea lion)
Lineage: Eukaryota; Metazoa; Chordata; Mammalia; Carnivora; Otariidae
Exons: 3
Source: RefSeq, a predicted model, not a curated record